GAUGAACGCUGGCGGCGUGCUUAACACAUGCAAGUCGAACGGAAAGGCCCAAGCUUGCUUGGGGACUCGAGUGGCGAACGGGUGAGUAACACGUGGGUGAUCUGCCCUGCACUUCGGGAUAAGCCUGGGAAACUGGGUCUAAUACCGGAUAGGACCACAUUUUGGAUGGUGUGGUGGAAAGUUUUUCGGUGUGGGAUGAGCUCGCGGCCUAUCAGCUUGUUGGUGGGGUAAUGGCCUACCAAGGCGUCGACGGGUAGCCGGCCUGAGAGGGUGUACGGCCACAUUGGGGCUGAGAUCCGGCCCCGACUCCUACGGGUGGCAGCAGUGGGGAAUAUUGCACAAUGGGCGCCAGCCUGAUGCAGCGACGCCGCGUGGGGGAUGACGGCCUUCGGGUUGUAAACUCCUUUCGCUAGGGACGAAGCGUUAUGUGACGGUACCUGGAGAAGAAGCACCGGCUAACUACGUG
Molecule: ribosomal RNA, 466 nt
Filed under: uncultured bacterium
Lineage: Bacteria
Description: partial 16S ribosomal RNA
Rfam family: Bacterial small subunit ribosomal RNA
Source: RNAcentral